Molecule: RNA transcript, 1798 nt
Organism: Coffea arabica (coffee)
Lineage: Eukaryota; Viridiplantae; Streptophyta; Magnoliopsida; Gentianales; Rubiaceae
Source: RefSeq, a predicted model, not a curated record
UUUCUGCUCUUUUGAGACCUCACCACACCAUGCGCCACCCGAUCCUGAGUUUCUUAAAUAUUCCGACUUCGUCACCGGAGACGACGAAGUUAAACAUAAGCACCAAUUCCACGACGUUUUAACCUAAGCGAACAAGGCAAAUCAAAACUGAAAACCACGUCGUUUUGAUUUGCUUGAAAGGGGAAAAAUAGAAUUUGCAGUUAAAAAUGGAGUUCCCGUUAACUUUUCGGGCUGCGAACCCGGCGACGAUGACGUUUUUGGGGAGUAAAUGUGGAGUUAGCUUGUAUGACGUGGCGGGGUUGAGUAUGAAGGAGAAGAAGAGCAGGAAGAAGAUGAAGCAGCUGGUGGAGGUGGUGAGAGUGAGUGCCACGGCGGAGAGGGGCAGCGGCCGGGAGGCGGUUGACGGUGGUGGAGCUGAACGAGAAAGCAGUAGCGGUGGUGGGUACACGAGCUCAGCUAUGGAGGUGACCACAUUCAAUCAAAGGUUUAGAAGUGUUGAAACUGAAUUUCCAGUUUGGGAAAAGAUUGGAGCUGUCGUUAGACUCAGCUACGGAAUCGGAAUAUAUGUCGCAAUGGCUUUGGCGGGAAGGUUCAUAUGCUCCAUGACUGGGAUUGAUAGCUCGGGAGGUUUUGAUCCAUCCCUAGAUGCCAUCGUUGAGGGACUGGGAUAUGCAGCUCCUCCAAUUAUGGCGCUUCUUUUUAUUCUUGAUGAUGAGGUUGUAAAAUUAUCUCCUCAUGCUCGUGCAAUAAGGGAUGUUGAGGAUGAAGAACUAAGGAGCUUCUUUUAUGGCAUGUCUCCGUGGCAGUUUAUAUUGAUUGUGGCUGCAAGCUCUGUUGGGGAGGAGCUUUUCUACCGUGCUGCUGUCCAGGGAGCAUUAGCCGACAUAUUCCUGAGAAGCACUGAUUUGGUGACAGAUGCUCGUGGGAUGGCAUCUAUGACUGGUUUCCUGCCGCCAUUUGUCCCAUUUGCUCAGGUGUUUGCUGCUGUUGUAACUGCUGCUCUUACCGGUUCUCUGUAUUAUGUUGCUGCCUCUCCGAAAGAUCCUACGUAUGUUGUUGCACCAGUAUUACAAUCUCGUUCUCGGCGUGAAGAUCUGAAGAAGCUGUUUGCAGUAAAACAGCUAUUUCCAAUACAUGUUGCGUGGGAAUCAUAUAUGGCAAUCAAUAGGAGGAGGAAACAAUUAGAAUUUCCGGUGACUGCCUAUUCCAAACAGAAAAUGUGUUUCUACAGAUAAGCUUGAUUAGCAUGAUGAUGUUCUUUAUCAACUUCUUCAAUAGAAGUAUGUUCAUCUUAAACUCGAUCAUCUUUAUGAGCCAUAUACACUCUUUUGAUCAGCAUGUAGUACUAUAUCAUUUGUAUGCACUCAGGAGCCUCUUCCCUGCCCUUUCAAAAAUGUGUACCUACAUUCUGGAGGUUGCAAAAUGUUGCUAAGGAGCAACGAGGAAAACUGAAGUUCACAGCAUAUUUUGCCUGCCUAAAACCAUUAUCCAUUGUCAGCUGUUUAUCUUGUAUCAUCAACACGCUAGUUACAAUUGCAAUCUGACUAUGGUGCAUAUGGAACAGCCUGGUAUGAGAGGAGGCAAAUGAAAAAGAUUUAUUCGCCCUUGCUGGAAGCAAUUCUAGCCCUUUACCUUGGAUUUGAAUGGAUCCAGACAAACAACAUCUUCGCUCCAAUCCUCACACAUGGCAUUUACUCUGCCGUUGUUUUGGGACAUGGCCUUUGGAAAAUACAUGAUCAUCGGCGAAGACUACGCCAGAGAGUUCAACAGCUGAAAUUGGAAGAGAAGAGCACGAGAA